GACGAACGCUGGCGGCGUGCCUAAUACAUGCAAGUAGAACGCUGAAGAGAGGAGCUUGCUCUUCUUGGAUGAGUUGCGAACGGGUGAGUAACGCGUAGGUAACCUGCCUGGUAGCGGGGGAUAACUAUUGGAAACGAUAGCUAAUACCGCAUAAAAUUGAUUAUUGCAUGAUGAUUAAUUGAAAGAUGCAACUGCAUCACUACCAGAUGGACCUGCGUUGUAUUAGCUAGUUGGUGAGGUAACGGCUCACCAAGGCGACGAUACAUAGCCGACCUGAGAGGGUGAUCGGCCCCACUGGGACUGAGGCACGGCCCAGACUCCUACGGGAGGCAGCAGUAGGGAAUCUUCGGCAAUGGGGGGAACCCUGACCGAGCAACGCCGCGUGAGUGAAGAAGGUUUUCGGAUCGUAAAGCUCUGUUGUAAGAGAAGAACGGGUGUGAGAGUGGAAAGUUCACACUGUGACGGUAUCUUACCAGAAAGGGACGGCUAACUACGUG
Molecule: ribosomal RNA, 497 nt
Filed under: uncultured bacterium
Lineage: Bacteria
Description: partial 16S ribosomal RNA
Rfam family: Bacterial small subunit ribosomal RNA
Source: RNAcentral